RNAcentral lists this ribosomal RNA (402 nucleotides) under uncultured bacterium. RNAcentral's name for it is "bacterial SSU rRNA". It matches the Rfam family "Bacterial small subunit ribosomal RNA", at positions 355 to 774 of the family's 1533-position model. The record is from RNAcentral.
UGGGGAAUAUUGCACAAUGGGGGAAACCCUGAUGCAGCGACGCCGCGUGAGCGAAGAAGUAUCUCGGUAUGUAAAGCUCUAUCAGCAGGGAAGAAAAUGACGGUACCUGACUAAGAAGCACCGGCUAAAUACGUGCCAGCAGCCGCGGUAAUACGUAUGGUGCAAGCGUUAUCCGGAUUUACUGGGUGUAAAGGGAGCGUAGACGGAGAAGCAAGUCUGGAGUGAAAGCCCGGGGCUCAACCCCGGGACUGCUUUGGAAACUGUUUGUCUUGAGUGCCGGAGAGGUAAGCGGAAUUCCUAGUGUAGCGGUGAAAUGCGUAGAUAUUAGGAGGAACACCAGUGGCGAAGGCGGCUUACUGGACGGCAACUGACGUUGAGGCUCGAAAGCGUGGGGAGCAAACA